This is a long non-coding RNA of Epinephelus fuscoguttatus (brown-marbled grouper), 502 nucleotides long. RefSeq lists it as uncharacterized. The transcript has 3 exons. The record is from RefSeq and is a predicted model, not a curated record. Lineage: Eukaryota; Metazoa; Chordata; Actinopteri; Perciformes; Serranidae.
UACACAAGCUCCAGUAUCGCCUCUGGUGCUGGAGGGAGUGUCAUCCAUUCCACCUUGUACAAAUCUCCUGCCAUCUUCCAGCCAUGACUUAUGGGAGGAGGAAUGUCUGGCCUACACUCAAGGCUCCUCCUGUGUAUUGCUGCCUGAAAGUUUGCCCGCUUGAUGUGUUGGUACAAGGACUCUUUGUUUGGAGGUGACCAUCAAUGUGGCUGCAGAAUGCAAGUGCCAACAUAAAGACAUCAGUGUCCGGGCUCUUGAUCACCAGGACAGUGCUGUAUUUUGCUGCACAAACUGCAUGCAGCAUAAGUCUGGUGUCUGCUUCCUCUUGAGUUGUCUCAAGGUCUCAAACCUCUGUUACUUCAAGAUGUGCUCCAGUGUUGGAAGAAGUACUCCAGCAAGUUUUCUUUAUUUUGCCCACAUGCCAGGAAUUUUCUCCACUGCUUUGGUGUUUUUUGAUCAUCUCCAUAUAUUUAGAUUUUUUGACAACCCUCUUCUGCCCUCC